GGGCAAAUGGUCUAGGGGUAUGAUUUUCCCUUCGCAUUGAUUCUACGGAGUCCACAUCGUAUGGGAAAGGUCCGGGGUUCAAUUCCCCGUUUGUCCA
This 97-nucleotide transfer RNA is filed under the name Xylariaceae sp. FL1019. RNAcentral's name for it is "tRNA-Ala". It matches the Rfam family "tRNA". From Rfam's summary of the family: Transfer RNA (tRNA) molecules are approximately 80 nucleotides in length. Lineage: Eukaryota; Fungi; Ascomycota; Sordariomycetes; Xylariales; Xylariaceae. The record is from RNAcentral.